RNAcentral lists this ribosomal RNA (253 nucleotides) under uncultured bacterium. RNAcentral's name for it is "partial 16S ribosomal RNA". It matches the Rfam family "Bacterial small subunit ribosomal RNA", at positions 524 to 776 of the family's 1533-position model. The record is from RNAcentral.
UACGGGGGGGGCAAGCGUUGUUCGGAAUUACUGGGCGUAAAGGGCUCGUAGGCGGCCAACUAAGUCGGAUGUGAAAUCCCCAGGCUUAACCUGGGAACUGCAUCCGAUACUGGAUGGCUUGAAUCCGGGAGAGGGAUGCAGAAUUCCAGGUGUAGCGGUGAAAUGCGUAGAUAUCUGGAGGAAUACCGGUGGCGAAAGCGACUCUCUGGACGGCAACUGACGCUGAGGCACGAAAGCGUGGGGAGCAAACAGG